AAGAAUGGCUUCUAGACCCUUUAUCAUCUUUGACAUCUUUUUAAAUAUAUCUUCCCUUUUAUCAAUAUCCUUCUUAAAAUCUCCUUAUCAGAAAUAAGAAAGAUAAAUGAGAGAAUUACUAUGAGGACAUGGGUUAUGAAAGCUUCUACAGAAGCACAAUUAUCUAGCUUAUGAAGUCAUACCUUAAUCAUUGGCAAAAUAAUUGAAUUAGACCAAGAUCACAGAAUUCUACAGUACUCUUUCAUACACUCUCUAUGGUCCACUGUUUUCCAAGGAGUAUAGCAAAGAAUGAGCUUUUAUUUUUUUUUAGAGACAGGUUCUUGUUUGGUUGCCCAGGCUGAAGUGCAGUGGCAUCAUCAUAGCUCACUGCGGUCUUGAACUCCUGGGCUCAAGGGAUCCUCUUGCCUCAGCCUCCUAGGUAGUUAAGACUAGAAGUGGGAGCCAUUACACCCAGGUAAUUUUUUUUUUUAAGAGAUUGGGUCUCAGUAUGUUGCCCAGGCUCGUCUUGUACUCCUGGUCUAAAGCAAUUCUUCUGCCUCAGCCUCCAGAGUUGCUAGGAUUACAGUCGUGAGCCAUGGCUCCUGGCUAAUAACAGUGAAACCUGAUUGAGCAUAUAGCAUGUACCACACAUUGAGCAUGUACAUUCUAUGCAUUAGCUCAUCUUAUAUUCACAAUAAUUCCUUGAGGUAAAUAUUAUCAUUACAUCAUUUUACAGGUGAGAAAACUGAAGCUUGAAGAAAUUAUUCGCUUAAGGUUAAACAAGAAAAUGGCAAAGUUGGAACUCCACCCAGAUUUCUCUGAUUGCAAAGCCAAAGCUUUUAAAUCUCACACUUACAUUGCUUACUCUUAAAAAUAGAUAAAUGACAGAGAGAGAAAAAAAGAGAGAUAAAAUUAGAAAGUAAAUGUGAUCACACAAAUUUAGGAAACUCUUACGUUAUAUAAAGAAAACAGGUAACAGCUCAAUUUCCCAGAACCUUUGAUAUACUAAUAUACAUUGCUAAUCUUCAACAAAGGGAUAUACUGUGCCUCCUUCCCCAAACUUACUUAACUAGAAACACUUCUUUCUAAGUGAAUCUUGCAGGACUAGUGUCCCACAAAACAGACUUUGGAAAAUGCUGCUUUAAGGUAAGAACAACUCUUUAAAAGAUUUUUAGUACAUAUGUUUAGUACAUAUCAGUUAUGAAGCUAACAAAUAGUGCUUAUGCCAGCAGAUUUUCAUACUUAAAUUCUUUACUUGAGGGAAACCAACUACCUAAAUAUAGUCUGAGGAACAGAGAGGAAUGUGCUUGACAGUAGCACCUUCCUUCCUUUAUUCAUUCAAAAGAAAGUAAUGAACAGGUACCAUGAGUAAAACUGUGCUAAGUGCUGGGCAUACAUAAAUGGCUAUAACCCAAUUAAUUACUUCUCUCAAGGUAUUCAUUGUUUUGUGGGGGAGGUAGAGAGUCACAUACUGUGAGGAAAUAAUGAUAUAGUAUGAUGAGCACAACAUUUCGAUCAUGCACAAAGCUUAGAUUCCACAUAAAAGGAAAUUUAACUCCAUUUGGGUAUAUCAGGGAAGAUGUCACGAAAGAGGGGCUACAUUCUCUUUUUCUUUGCCCUGAUUGCUAAUAGUAGUCCAAAUGUUUUAUCGACUUUUUUGUCCCUCAAUAACUGAGAAUAUAUUUCCCCAAAUACCAAAAAUUAAAGUAUCACUCAUCUCAAAAUUGACCAAAAAUUACUCUUUUUACAAAACAAUGUGCAUGUUUAUGUAUAUAGGCCCAUAUACCUGAUAACAAUUUGCUAAUAUGUCUUCAAUAUUUAAAACUCAAUAUCAAAUAGACACUUGCUUCUCUAGAGAAUAAUUUUGUGGAGAAACACAUGCUCUAUGAAUGCUUAGGACCUAUAUUUACAGACAAUGGGAAAUUACUUCUAUAAUAUUAUGAAUCAGAAAAAUGUUACACAUAAGUUUACACACACACAUAAUGUUACACAUAAGUACUUUUCUAAAGUACUUUAGUAUUUACAGCAUUUGAAAAAAGACUUCAGGAUUAUUGCAGGUGAUUUCUUGGACUAAUACUAGAGGGGAAAGGAGGUAGAAAGGAGUGACACUGAUAUGGAGCCAGGCUUGGUAAGCCAGCUUUGGACUAAUUGUCAUAUCAAUCCCUCAAUUUCAGUCUCCAAAAACUAAAUGAAAACAAGCAUAUAUAACUGACAUUCUUACAAGAAAAGAAUGUUCAGGUCUACAGACGGUAAGGUCUGUGUUUGGAAGAGGACCAUGGAACUGAUCUUAUUUGAAAGAAAAUAGCCAGGAUCUACUUGAAAUUACUGAAACACAUGUUUCUACAACACUAAUACUAUAGGGAUGUUGCUUGCCCAUCCCCACCCUUGUUCUGAGAAUACUGGGUUCUACUAAGGUAAAAAAAAGAAAAGAAAAGGAAAAAAAGGAAAGAAACAAACAAGAAAGUGAUGACAGAGGUAGAACUUUUACUACUAUAGCCCUAGGUUAGGCCAAAUAAUAACAACUACCAUUUAUUGAAUGACAACCAUGUCCCAGGCAUGUCACAAACACUAUCCUGUUAAUGCUUCAAAGUGGACAUUUUUAUCCUCGUUUUACAAAUAAGAAAACUGAGGCUCAAAGGGUUUAGGAAAUCUGCCUAAGGUGAUACAGCUAUGUUGUAGCAGAAUGAGGAUUCUAAUCCAGGAAUAAUGUCUCACUCCAAACACCGCAAGUUUCCAUUCAUCAGCUGCUUCAGUGGAGAGAGGAUAGAUAUCUAUCAGCCUGUGUUCACUGCAUGCCUCUUUGAGAAACACAGACCCUGAGACGAACUUAUACCCAAAGAAGAUUUGGUGGUUUCUCAUUAAGCCCCUGGCAAUCUGAGGCGGGUAAGUCCAAUAUCAAAGUGCUGACAUCUGGCGGGGGCCUUCCUGCCACGUCAUCCGAUAGAAGGGUGAGAGAACGCUUGCGCAAGAGAGCAAAAGGAAAAGGACGCCAAACUGAUCCUUUUACUGGGAGGGAGCCCACUCUCACAAUAACGCCAUUAGUUCUCUCCUGAGGGCAGAGCUCUUAAAAAUUGCACCUCCCCAGGCUGUCACGUCGGAGAUUAACUUUCCCACACAUGAACCUUGGAGGACACAUUCAAACCAUAGCAGAGAAGAACCUGACAAGAUCACCCGUUAGUAAGUGGGGGAGCUGGGAAUCGAAGCCAGGCAGCCAGAGUCUGUCUUAACCACUGUGCUCCUAGGAAAGUUGGGAGUGGACAGCAUGGGUGGAAGUCUUUUACAAGCAUUUAAAGAUUAAAGUCUUUUAAAAGAUUUAAAGGUGGAAGUCUUAAAAAGCACGCCAUGGAAUUUCACCUUGCUGGUGAUAGACGUAUAUGGAGCGAAGUAUAAAACAAAGAUUUUUUUCAGGCAGCUGUUUUCACAUGGGACUGGAAGGGCAUCUGACACCACUGACUUCCUGACGUGCUCUUUAACUUUAGAUUUCAAUGCACGCUUGUCUUCUGAGUCUCUUUCCACUUUCCUAAUGAUUCAUUUUUCAGACUCCUUUAAUGUCUCCUUCUCUUCCUCCUCCACUUUCCCUGGA
Microcebus murinus (gray mouse lemur) is the source of this 3562-nucleotide non-coding RNA. The record is from RefSeq and is a predicted model, not a curated record. NCBI's taxonomy places the organism in Eukaryota, Metazoa, Chordata, Mammalia, Primates, Cheirogaleidae.